AAGUCGUAACAAGGUUUCCGUAGGUGAACCUGCGGAAGGAUCAUUGACAUAUUAUUCUUCAUACACACUUGUGAAAAUCCAAGACAGGUUAUAACAAAGUUGAAGGUUGACAGACAACUAUAAUACUCUACUCAGUUAGAGUUAAUACUCACUCAGUUAGAGUAGUAUGUUGAAUGUCUUCUUUAAAUACUUAUAUAAACUCUAGUUUUUAUUAUAUAAAGCGUGCUUUAAUAUUAAAACAAUAAGUUUAUACAACUUUUAACGGUGGAUCUCUUGGCUCCU
RNAcentral lists this unclassified non-coding RNA (282 nucleotides) under fungal sp. RNAcentral describes it as "partial internal transcribed spacer region". The stretch from base 1 to 46 matches the Rfam family "Eukaryotic small subunit ribosomal RNA", at positions 1786 to 1831 of the family's 1831-position model. The record is from RNAcentral. Lineage: Eukaryota; Fungi.